Molecule: ribosomal RNA, 253 nt
Filed under: uncultured bacterium
Lineage: Bacteria
Description: partial 16S ribosomal RNA
Rfam family: Bacterial small subunit ribosomal RNA
Source: RNAcentral
UACGAAGGGGGCUAGCGUUGCUCGGAAUCACUGGGCGUAAAGGGUGCGUAGGCGGGUCUUUAAGUCGGGGGUGAAAUCCUGGAGCUCAACUCCAGAACUGCCUUUGAUACUGAAGAUCUUGAGUUCGGGAGAGGUGAGUGGAACUGCGAGUGUAGAGGUGAAAUUCGUAGAUAUUCGCAAGAACACCAGUGGCGAAGGCGGCUCACUGGCCCGAUACUGACGCUGAGGCACGAAAGCGUGGGGAGCAAACAGG